This 85-nucleotide transfer RNA is filed under the name Bacteroidota bacterium. RNAcentral's name for it is "tRNA-Ser". It matches the Rfam family "tRNA". From Rfam's summary of the family: Transfer RNA (tRNA) molecules are approximately 80 nucleotides in length. Their secondary structure includes four short double-helical elements and three loops (D, anti-codon, and T loops). RNAcentral also lists the same sequence under 2 other names. Lineage: Bacteria; Pseudomonadati; Bacteroidota. The record is from RNAcentral.
GGAGAGAUGGCAGAGUGGUCGAUUGCGGCGGUCUUGAAAACCGUUGAGGUGCAAGCCUCCGGGGGUUCGAAUCCCUCUCUCUCCG